This is a long non-coding RNA of Lemur catta (Ring-tailed lemur), 1739 nucleotides long. RefSeq lists it as uncharacterized. NCBI's taxonomy places the organism in Eukaryota, Metazoa, Chordata, Mammalia, Primates, Lemuridae. The record is from RefSeq and is a predicted model, not a curated record. The transcript is spliced from 3 exons.
GAGGAGAGGAAACAGAGACAGAGACAGAGAGACGGGGGAGACAGACCUAGAGACAGAGGGACAUGGAGAGUGAGGACAUAGGCGGGAAGAAGGAACGGGGGCUGGAAGGGAGACUGAGGACAGGGACUCUGCUCCUGUUUUCCCUCUUUUGCAACAUACCAGGGAAAGCUCUUCAGGAAUUUACAACUGUAGCAACAAGCGAUUGGGGCUAUUGCUAUUAUUUUUAUUAUUUUUACAGCUGCUUUAAAAAGAACUCACCACUUCUUCUGGGAAGUUUGAGACCUUAUUUACUACUUAUGUGCCAAGCACCGUGCUGGACGUGGGACCAAGUGAAGAAUUUUAGAUUUACAGAAAGAUUGCUGCUACAGUACAGAGUCUCUUCAUAUUUUCCACGGCCAGUUUCCUUCAUUAUGAGCACCUUACAUUGACACCGUUGUCACAAUGAAUGAACCGCGCUGAUACCUUACACAACUGAAGUCUGAUCCGGUAUUUUGUUCCAUGUACUUUUUACAUAAAUAUCUUUUUUAUUUCCAAAUAGCAGGCACAUGCUAGGUGAGAAGAGAGCAAUGCAUAAUAUGCAAGUAAUUCCUACUCUUUUGGAGUUUAACCAUCAAUAACGAAGUGCAAUAAGCUUCGUUGCAGGGAAAGUACAGGGGGUCGUGGAGGCAAAUGCUCAUCUUCCGGCCUGCACCACAGAGGGAUCCCAAGACAGUGCUGAUGCACCGGCUGAAAGCACAGAUUCACCCUCAGCUCCACCAGGGCUUGGAUGUUUGCCGUCUCCCGCCUCCAAAGCCAACCUAGGGCACAUUUUCUUGCCUGAAUAACUGGAAACCUAGGGACAUGAGUCAAAGGAAUAUCUGUGCUCAACGGGCAUCUCACCCAAUAUUGUUCUGUAUUUCAUUAUUUGUGUGGCAUGUCUCUUGUCUACUUGAAGCUGCUUCUUACUUGGAUGGUGGAUAAUCAGAAAUGGAUUCCCCAAGCCUGCUUGAACUGCCCCACCCAGCCAGCACUCAGGCACUUCCCAGCCCUGUGUCCCCUGAGCAGUGGAAGCAGGUCUCUAGAAGAGCCCUGAUUCCAAUUGGCAGCUCUGUUACAGCGCUGUGUUCUCUCCUGCUCCAUGGACAGCUCCUCUAGAGUACCGGCUGUGUUUAUGCAUCUUUGUAUUCCCCGUGCCUGGAAUGUGGCAGGUGCUCAAAGGAUGUUUGCUUAAAUAAUUGAACAACUGGAUAAAGAAAGUACAGGAAGAAAGGUGAGAAAAACUGGUCUGUGUUUACAGCAAACAAGUCCAUGGCUUUUUGAAGAGCCCAGAAAGAUGAUGUAAAGACUGUUCUCAGAAGAGAGGCCCUGGGAUUGAGAAGUACUAAGAUUACUAACCACUGACCCAAUUAAACGAAGUAGUAUAACCCUCUAAGAGCUGCCCCUUAGGAACACAGAGCCAGAACAAAGGACAAGCUGGACCACAUUCUGGGGGGAAUUCUGAUAUUCUUCUGAGUAGAAUUUCUCGAAGUAUGGCUUUGCAGUGACCCGUUCAGCGUUCAUGUAAGAAACGAUGUCUUCAAGUCUCUGGCUGGAUGGUGGCGUGCAGGGCUGGUUGGCUUCCUGGGGAAGUCCUCGCUGAGCCAACUGGAGCCGGCACUGUGUCAAACAGUUUCUGGGCAUCCACUGUUCAUGGAGGAAGGACUCUCGUGAUGGUGGAGAUGCACUGAUUGAAAAUAAAAUAAAAUAAAAUUUUGGACUUC